RNAcentral lists this ribosomal RNA (375 nucleotides) under uncultured Nitrososphaerota archaeon. RNAcentral's name for it is "bacterial SSU rRNA". It matches the Rfam family "Archaeal small subunit ribosomal RNA", at positions 505 to 880 of the family's 1478-position model. The record is from RNAcentral. Lineage: Archaea; Thermoproteati; Nitrososphaerota.
UGGGCCUAAAGCAUCCGUAGCCGGUUGCAUAAGUUUUCGGUUAAAUCUAUGCGCUCAACGUAUAGGCCGCCGAAAAUACUGUGCAGCUAGGGAGUGGGAGAGGUACACGGUACUCAGUAGGAAGGGGUAAAAUCCUUUGAUCUAUUGAUGACCACCUGUGGCGAAGGCGGUGUACCAGAACACGUUCGACGGUGAGGGAUGAAAGCUGGGGGAGCAAACCGGAUUAGAUACCCGGGUAGUCCCAGCUGUAAACGAUGCAGACUCGGUGAUGCAUUGGCUUGUGGCCAAUGCAGUGCCGCAGGGAAGCCGUUAAGUCUGCCGCCUGGGAAGUACGUACGCAAGUAUGAAACUUAAAGGAAUUGGCGGGGGAGCACA